This 405-nucleotide ribosomal RNA is filed under the name uncultured rumen bacterium. RNAcentral describes it as "bacterial SSU rRNA". It matches the Rfam family "Bacterial small subunit ribosomal RNA", at positions 354 to 776 of the family's 1533-position model. The record is from RNAcentral.
GUGGGGAAUAUUGCACAAUGGGCGAAAGCCUGAUGCAGCGACGCCGCGUGAGCGAAGAAGUAUUUCGGUAUGUAAAGCUCUAUCAGCAGGGAAGAUAAUGACGGUACCUGACUAAGAAGCACCGGCUAAAUACGUGCCAGCAGCCGCGGUAAUACGUAUGGUGCAAGCGUUAUCCGGAUUUACUGGGUGUAAAGGGAGCGUAGGCGGUUUUGCAAGUCUGAUGUGAAAGCCCGGGGCUCAACUCCGGUAUUGCAUUGGAAACUGCAGAACUAGAGUGUCGGAGGGGUAAGUGGAAUUCCUAGUGUAGCGGUGAAAUGCGUAGAUAUUAGGAGGAACACCAGUGGCGAAGGCGGCUUACUGGACGAUUACUGACGCUGAGGCUCGAAAGCGUGGGGAGCAAACAGG